UUAUGAUGAGGAAACUGAGGCAAACAGGUUAAAUGAGUUGCUCAGGAUCACACAGCUGGUAAAUGUAUGAGACCAGAUUUGGACUCAUUGUAAUAAAUGUUUGAGAAAUGAAUUAAUGCCUUGUUCUUUGUUUACAUGAUGGGAAUGAAAGAGGUCAGGUGAGCAUAGUUCUUACUUCUCUGGGCAUGGAAUCUAUCUAUAUAUCAGGAUAUAAUAAAGUAUCACAUACCCAAUGAGUUCUCAAUCAGUACUAAUUGAUGUUGUUUAAUGGUAUCAAUUGCACUGGCAACAUCUCUAGCCUCCCAGUCACCUUUUUAUGCCAAUUUAUUUAACAUAUAUGUGUGUGUGUAUAAUACAUAUAAAUGUAUAUGUAUGUAUGUGUGUAUGUGCUAUUAGCCAUCUGUUUGGUACAGUUCCAAAGACAGAAAAACAGACAAUACAAAUAGAUUUUGUUUUGAAUAAUUCCAACUAAUUAUUCAUCAUGAAGCAAUAUUUGGGAAGGAUAGAACUGCUGGAUUUACUUACCCUCAAUAAAAAUUGAGACAUAGUAUAUCUUCCCUGAAGAAAAAUUGUCCUACCAUGACAAAAUUAACAAUUCUGAAACCUUUCUUCCCCACCUGGAAGGUUGCCAUUUCAAUUCAAAUGAGCACAUUUGGGAAGAGAAUGCUGCAGUGAGACUCAGAUAAAGCCGACUAAGAUUUUGCAACCACAAAGAAACCAGGUUUCCUUGCCAACUCUCAGUCUUCAUGUCUUGUUUAGCAGCCAGUUCUAUGUUCAAGAAUAAGAAAUGGUAGGCGGAUGACAUAAAAAAUCCAACAUGUUUCUAUUAAAAUGGAAUGAUUAAACUUCAUCCAUUAGGAAUGAGUUUACAUUUUAGAAAUAGCCCCAAAUAAUUUAGAACCUCAUCUGGUAAAUAAGAGGGUGGUGGUGGUGGUGGUGGUGAUCAAAGUGAUCAAAACAAGGUGGGAAUAUAAAAUAAUGAAACUGAGUGUAAUGGAAUUCUAUUGUGCCUUAAGAAAUGAUGAGUCAGUUUCAGAGGAACCUGGAAAGACUUGUAUGAAAUGAUCCAAUAUACAGAAUAACCAGGAGAAGAAUUUAUACAGCAAUAACAACAUGGUAAAGACAAAGAGUUUUGAAAGGCUUUCAGAAUGCUUAUCAACACCUAACCACAAUUUCAAAGAACCAUUGUUGAAAUAAGCUACCCACCUCCUGACCAAGAGGUAAAUAGACUCAAGAUGCAGGAUGAGAUACAUUUCUAGACAUAUCCAAUGGGGGAAUUUGUUUCACCAAAUAUACAUUUGUAACAAAGGUUUUGUUUUUCUUUUUUGUUCCCAAUCUAUUUUCCCUCAUAUGUUUAGGAUCCCCUUUUGUGCAUAUAUAUAUAUAUAUAAAUUAUUAUUAUUAUUAGCUUAUUUGUUGGUUUCCUAAUUUUUGAAAAUGCAUAUUUGGUUCACUAGUCCUCUUCUAUAUUUUGUUAAUGGAUGUUUUAGGGAUGUAAUUUUCCCCUCAGGGCUAUUUUAAAUGCAUCCCCCCAAAUUGGCAUGUUGUUUCAUAAUUAUAAUUUUCUUUUAUAUGAUUGUUUCUAUGAUUUGUUCUUUGUGCCACUCAUUAGUUGUUCUUUGUACCACUCAUUAUUUCAUUGUUGACUCCAUUUAGUGUGUCUUUUGUUUGUGAUUCCUGAAAUGGUUAGCAUUUUUAUUAUAUUAUGGUCUGUAAAGCAUGUAUUCUCUAUUUCUACUUUUUUGUAUUUGUUGGCAAUAUCUUUGUGCCUUAACACAUGGUUAAUUUUUUUUUAAUUCCAUAUAGUACUGAAAGAUAUGUUUAUUCUUUUGCAUUCCAUUUAGAAGAUGCCAUAAGUUUUUGAAACACUAGUUUGCCCAGCAAUUUGUUCAAUUUUGGAUUUUCCCUUUUGUUUAUUUUUCUAUUAAUUUGUCCAAAAUGUAGAGAAGAAUAUAUUGUGUUCUUGCCUAUGACUUCUUAUAAUUCAGUGAAUUUUCCCUUUGUGAAUACAAGUACCUAGACAUUUGGAGCACAUAGGUUUAAUGUUGAUGAUGGUUUGUUUUCUGUUGUUCUUUUCAACUUAAUGUAGUUUCCUUGUUUAUCUCUAUGUUGUAGAUUUUUGUUUUUGCUUUGUCUCAUAAGCAUGAUUGCAACUCCUACUUUUUGGAUUCACUUGAUGCAUAGUCAGGUUUUUUUCCCUAGUCCUUCAUUUUUAUUCUAUUUAUUUCCUUGUUUUUUAGGUAUGUUUCUUUCUUUUCUUUUUUUUUUUUUAGUGAGGCAAUUGGGGUUAAGUGACUUGCCCAGGGUCACAUAGCUAGUAAGUGUUAAGUGUCUGAGUCCGGGUGUGUUUCUUAUAAGUGAUAGAUUGUGAAGCUUUGUUUUCUUCUCUAAUCUGUCACUAUAUUUUGUUUUAUUGGAUUGUAUAAUUCAUUCCAAAUUCAAA
Long non-coding RNA from Dromiciops gliroides (monito del monte), 2443 nucleotides. RefSeq lists it as uncharacterized. The transcript is spliced from 2 exons. NCBI's taxonomy places the organism in Eukaryota, Metazoa, Chordata, Mammalia, Microbiotheria, Microbiotheriidae. The record is from RefSeq and is a predicted model, not a curated record.